UUAUUGUUGGUUUGGCUUUAAGUAUAAUUAUUUUGAAAGUAAUUAAUAAGGAUUUUCCUUUAAAGUCA
RNAcentral lists this transfer RNA (68 nucleotides) under Plexippus paykullii. Its description in RNAcentral is "Plexippus paykulli tRNA-Ser". Lineage: Eukaryota; Metazoa; Arthropoda; Arachnida; Araneae; Salticidae. The record is from RNAcentral.